Molecule: RNA transcript, 2660 nt
Organism: Mus musculus (house mouse)
Lineage: Eukaryota; Metazoa; Chordata; Mammalia; Rodentia; Muridae
Gene: Akt1
Gene name: thymoma viral proto-oncogene 1
Exons: 14
Source: RefSeq, marked reviewed
GGCGGCGGCAGCACCGAGUCGGCGGGCGGCCGGCCCAGCGCGGCAGCGCACGCGAGUCCGGGACCAGCGGAGCGGACCGAGCAGCGUCCUGUGGCCGGCACCGCGGCGGCCCAGAUCCGGCCAGCAGCGCGCGCCCGGACGCCGCUGCCUUCAGCCGGCCCCGCCCAGCGCCCGCCCGCGGGAUGCGGAGCGGCGGGCGCCCGAGGCCGCGGCCCGGCUAGGCCCAGUCGCCCGCACGCGGCGGCCCGACGCUGCGGCCAGGCCGGCUGGGCUCAGCCUACCGAGAAGAGACUCUGAGCAUCAUCCCUGGGUUACCCCUGUCUCUGGGGGCCACGGAUACCAUGAACGACGUAGCCAUUGUGAAGGAGGGCUGGCUGCACAAACGAGGGGAAUAUAUUAAAACCUGGCGGCCACGCUACUUCCUCCUCAAGAACGAUGGCACCUUUAUUGGCUACAAGGAACGGCCUCAGGAUGUGGAUCAGCGAGAGUCCCCACUCAACAACUUCUCAGUGGCACAAUGCCAGCUGAUGAAGACAGAGCGGCCAAGGCCCAACACCUUUAUCAUCCGCUGCCUGCAGUGGACCACAGUCAUUGAGCGCACCUUCCAUGUGGAAACGCCUGAGGAGCGGUGAGGAAGAAUGGGCCACCGCCAUUCAGACUGUGGCAGAUGGACUCAAGAGGCAGGAAGAAGAGACGAUGGACUUCCGAUCAGGCUCACCCAGUGACAACUCAGGGGCUGAAGAGAUGGAGGUGUCCCUGGCCAAGCCCAAGCACCGUGUGACCAUGAACGAGUUUGAGUACCUGAAGCUACUGGGCAAGGGCACCUUUGGGAAGGUGAUUCUGGUGAAAGAGAAGGCCACAGGCCGCUACUAUGCCAUGAAGAUCCUCAAGAAGGAGGUCAUCGUCGCCAAGGAUGAGGUUGCCCACACGCUUACUGAGAACCGUGUCCUGCAGAACUCUAGGCAUCCCUUCCUUACGGCCCUCAAGUACUCAUUCCAGACCCACGACCGCCUCUGCUUUGUCAUGGAGUAUGCCAACGGGGGCGAGCUCUUCUUCCACCUGUCUCGAGAGCGUGUGUUCUCCGAGGACCGGGCCCGCUUCUAUGGUGCGGAGAUUGUGUCUGCCCUGGACUACUUGCACUCCGAGAAGAACGUGGUGUACCGGGACCUGAAGCUGGAGAACCUCAUGCUGGACAAGGACGGGCACAUCAAGAUAACGGACUUCGGGCUGUGCAAGGAGGGGAUCAAGGACGGUGCCACUAUGAAGACAUUCUGCGGAACGCCGGAGUACCUGGCCCCUGAGGUGCUGGAGGACAACGACUACGGCCGUGCAGUGGACUGGUGGGGGCUGGGCGUGGUCAUGUACGAGAUGAUGUGUGGCCGCCUGCCCUUCUACAACCAGGACCACGAGAAGCUGUUCGAGCUGAUCCUCAUGGAGGAGAUCCGCUUCCCGCGCACACUCGGCCCUGAGGCCAAGUCCCUGCUCUCCGGGCUGCUCAAGAAGGACCCUACACAGAGGCUCGGUGGGGGCUCCGAGGAUGCCAAGGAGAUCAUGCAGCACCGGUUCUUUGCCAACAUCGUGUGGCAGGAUGUGUAUGAGAAGAAGCUGAGCCCACCUUUCAAGCCCCAGGUCACCUCUGAGACUGACACCAGGUAUUUCGAUGAGGAGUUCACAGCUCAGAUGAUCACCAUCACGCCGCCUGAUCAAGAUGACAGCAUGGAGUGUGUGGACAGUGAGCGGAGGCCGCACUUCCCCCAGUUCUCCUACUCAGCCAGUGGCACAGCCUGAGGCCUGGGGCAGCGGCUGGCAGCUCCACGCUCCUCUGCAUUGCCGAGUCCAGAAGCCCCGCAUGGAUCAUCUGAACCUGAUGUUUUGUUUCUCGGAUGCGCUGGGGAGGAACCUUGCCAGCCUCCAGGACCAGGGGAGGAUGUUUCUACUGUGGGCAGCAGCCUACCUCCCAGCCAGGUCAGGAGGAAAACUAUCCUGGGGUUUUUCUUAAUUUAUUUCAUCCAGUUUGAGACCACACAUGUGGCCUCAGUGCCCAGAACAAUUAGAUUCAUGUAGAAAACUAUUAAGGACUGACGCGACCAUGUGCAAUGUGGGCUCAUGGGUCUGGGUGGGUCCCGUCACUGCCCCCAUUGGCCUGUCCACCCUGGCCGCCACCUGUCUCUAGGGUCCAGGGCCAAAGUCCAGCAAGAAGGCACCAGAAGCACCCCCCUGUGGUAUGCUAACUGGCCCUCUCCCUCUGGGCGGGGAGAGGUCACAGCUGCUUCAGCCCUAGGGCUGGAUGGGAUGGCCAGGGCUCAAGUGAGGUUGACAGAGGAACAAGAAUCCAGUUUGUUGCUGUGUCCCAUGCUGUUCAGAGACAUUUAGGGGAUUUUAAUCUUGGUGACAGGAGAGCCCCUGCCCUCCCGCACCCGCUCCCGCGUGGUGGCUCUUAGCGGGUACCCUGGGAGCGCCUGCCUCACGUGAGCCCUUCUCCUAGCACUUGUCCUUUUAGAUGCUUUCCCUCUCCCGCUGUCCGUCACCCUGGCCUGUCCCCUCCCGGCCAGACGCUGGCCAUUGCUGCACCAUGUCGUUUUUUACAACAUUCAGCUUCAGCAUUUUUACUAUUAUAAUAAGAAACUGUCCCUCCAAAUUCAAUAAAAAUUGCUUUUCAA